CUGUGGGACUUCUGGCUCUGCAUCAUCCCAAGUGUCCUCACAUUCCAGACCCGGGCUGAGCAGCAGCUGUUACUGAGAGCUGUUGUUCUCCUGGUACAAGGCAGCAACCUGCCAAGGGAACCAGAGCCAAGCCACCCCUUCAAAGUGUCUGCAUGGCUGUGUCAUGCCUGAGCUCUCACCACCGUCUGGAGCAUACAAUGAGGCAAGCCAGAGUCGAUAAGCAUAUUGGAGCUAUGACCACAGAGGUGAUUAAAGAAUCAUAGCCCUCCUGAAGUGAUAUCCAAACAGAGAAUUUUCCAAUACAUAUCUUGAAAUCACAGAGCAUGCAAUGCCACACGAGCUCCAGGAAGGCAGCAUCUCUGCUUAGGAUAUGGAAAUUUGGAAGCUCGUCGCUAUAAUCUGUGGUUAUGAUUUCAAGCUCCCCCAGUGAUGUCGGGAAGCAAACCACAGACUCCCACUGCUA
RNAcentral lists this long non-coding RNA (463 nucleotides) under Cricetulus griseus (Chinese hamster). Its description in RNAcentral is "lncRNA (ENSCGRG00000026436.1)". The record is from RNAcentral. Lineage: Eukaryota; Metazoa; Chordata; Mammalia; Rodentia; Cricetidae.